GACGAACGCUGGCGGCGUGCUUAACACAUGCAAGUCGAACGGAAAGGCCCUGCUUUUGUGGGGUGCUCGAGUGGCGAACGGGUGAGUAACACGUGAGUAACCUGCCCUUGACUUUGGGAUAACUUCAGGAAACUGGGGCUAAUACCGGAUAGGAGCUCCUGCUGAAUGGUGGGGGUUGGAAAGUUUCGGCGGGUGGGGAUGGACUCGCGGCUUAUCAGCUUGUUGGUGGGGUAGUGGCUUACCAAGGCUUUGACGGGUAGCCGGCCUGAGAGGGUGACCGGCCACAUUGGGACUGAGAUACGGCCCAGACUCCUACGGGAGGCAGCAGUGGGGUAUAGUGCACAAUGGGCGGAAGCCUGAUGCAGCAACGCCGCGUGCGGGAUGACGGCCUUCGGGUUGUAAACCGCUUUCGCCUGUGACGAAGCGUGAGUGACGGUAAUGGGUAAAGAAGCACCGGCUAACUACGUG
RNAcentral lists this ribosomal RNA (468 nucleotides) under uncultured bacterium. RNAcentral describes it as "partial 16S ribosomal RNA". It matches the Rfam family "Bacterial small subunit ribosomal RNA", at positions 28 to 507 of the family's 1533-position model. The record is from RNAcentral.